RNAcentral lists this ribosomal RNA (460 nucleotides) under uncultured bacterium. RNAcentral's name for it is "partial 16S ribosomal RNA". It matches the Rfam family "Bacterial small subunit ribosomal RNA", at positions 338 to 795 of the family's 1533-position model. The record is from RNAcentral.
CCUACGGGAGGCAGCAGUGAGGAAUAUUGGUCAAUGGACGCAAGUCUGAACCAGCCAUGCCGCGUGCAGGAGGACGGCUCUAUGAAUUGUAAACUGCUUUUGUACGGGGGUAAACGCAGAUACGCGUAUCUGGCUGAAAGUAUCGUACGAAUAAGGAUCGGCUAACUCCGUGCCAGCAGCCGCGGUAAUACGGAGGAUUCAAGCGUUAUCCGGAUUUAUUGGGUUUAAAGGGUGCGUAGGCGGUCGGAUAAGUUAGAGGUGAAAUCCCGGGGCUCAACUUCGGAAUUGCCUAUGAUACUGUUAGGCUAGAGAGUAGUUGCGGUAGGCGGAAUGUAUGGUGUAGCGGUGAAAUGCUUAGAGAUCAUACAGAACACCGAUUGCGAAGGCAGCUUACCGAGCUACCUCUGACGCUGAGGCACGAAAGCGUGGGGAGCAAACAGGAUUAGAUACCCCAGUAGUC